UUGAACGCUGGCGGCAGGCCUAACACAUGCAAGUCGAGCGGAUGAAGGGAGCUUGCUCCUGGAUUCAGCGGCGGACGGGUGAGUAAUGCCUAGGAAUCUGCCUGGUAGUGGGGGAUAACGUCCGGAAACGGGCGCUAAUACCGCAUACGUCCUGAGGGAGAAAGUGGGGGAUCUUCGGACCUCACGCUAUCAGAUGAGCCUAGGUCGGAUUAGCUAGUUGGUGGGGUAAAGGCCUACCAAGGCGACGAUCCGUAACUGGUCUGAGAGGAUGACCAGUCACACUGGAACUGAGACACGGUCCAGACUCCUACGGGAGGCAGCAGUGGGGAAUAUUGGACAAUGGGCGAAAGCCUGAUCCAGCCAUGCCGCGUGUGUGAAGAAGGUCUUCGGAUUGUAAAGCACUUUAAGUUGGGAGGAAGGGCAGUAAGUUAAUACCUUGCUGUUUUGACGUUACCAACAGAAUAAGCACCGGCUAACUUCGUG
RNAcentral lists this ribosomal RNA (483 nucleotides) under uncultured bacterium. Its description in RNAcentral is "partial 16S ribosomal RNA". It matches the Rfam family "Bacterial small subunit ribosomal RNA", at positions 30 to 507 of the family's 1533-position model. The record is from RNAcentral.